GAGAGUGGCGCACGGGUGCGUAACGCGUAUGCAACCUACCCUAUACAGGGGGAUAGCCCGGAGAAAUCUGGAUUAAUACCCCAUGGCACUAUGUUGAGGCAUUUCGAUAUAGUUAAAGAUUUAUCGGUAUAGGAUGGGCAUGCGUCUGAUUAGCUAGUUGGCGGUGUAACGGACCACCAAGGCGACGAUCAGUAGGGGUUCUGAGAGGAAGGUCCCCCACACUGGCACUGAGAUACGGGCCAGACUCCUACGGGAGGCAGCAGUAGGGAAUAUUGGGCAAUGGACGAGAGUCUGACCCAGCCAUGCCGCGUGCAGGAAGACGGCGUUCUGCGUUGUAAACUGCUUUUAUCUGGGAAGAAAAGGCCCAUGCGUGGGACAUUGCCGGUACCAGAUGAAUAAGCACCGGCUAACUCCGUGCCAGCAGCCGCGGUAAUACGGAGGGUGCAAGCGUUGUCCGGAUUUAUUGGGUUUAAAGGGUGCGUAGGCGGCUAUUUAAGUCAGUGGUGAAAGACUCCGGCUCAACCGGAGCAGUGCCAUUGAUACUGGAUAGCUUGAGUAUUGGAGAGGUACAUGGAAUUGAUGGUGUAGCGGUGAAAUGCAUAGAUACCAUCAGGAACACCGAUAGCGAAGGCAUUGUACUGGCCAAUAACUGACGCUGAUGCACGAAAGCAUGGGGAGCGAACAGGAUUAGAUACCCUGGUAGUCCAUGCCGUAAACGAUGAUUACUCGCUGUUAUGCCUAUAUGGUGUAG
Molecule: ribosomal RNA, 751 nt
Filed under: Algoriphagus lutimaris
Lineage: Bacteria; Pseudomonadati; Bacteroidota; Cytophagia; Cytophagales; Cyclobacteriaceae
Description: bacterial SSU rRNA
Rfam family: Bacterial small subunit ribosomal RNA
Source: RNAcentral